Long non-coding RNA from Lutra lutra (Eurasian river otter), 693 nucleotides. RefSeq lists it as uncharacterized. The transcript has 2 exons. NCBI's taxonomy places the organism in Eukaryota, Metazoa, Chordata, Mammalia, Carnivora, Mustelidae. The record is from RefSeq and is a predicted model, not a curated record.
UGGGGACUGGAGUAGAGGCAGGACAGGUGACCUCCAGGGCCCACCAUCACCACCCAGCCCGUCAGCACUGACUCUAACACCACCUGCACCUGCUCUUCCCAAUACCUUAGCCACCGUGACCACCAACAUGCAUACUGACCAGAGCCCCAGCAGUCCUAAUGCUGCCAUCAUCAUGGCCCCCUUACCGUCCCCUUUACCAGCACUCAUGAUGUCAGCAGUAGCUGUCAACCACACCCAUCAACAUCAGUGCCUAUACCGUUGUCAGCACUGUCCCCAGCACCGGGUCUCAUCAGCAAGGUCAUAGGCUCUGUCCAGGCCCACCCCUCUGCCAUCACCAAAUCCAAAUCCAUCACCAUCAUCCAAACCUUCACCAACACUCCCACCAACACCAACACCACCAACAUCAUCGUCCCCACCUGGGAAGCUAAACCUCCACCCCCGACCUUUAACACACAAACCUUGAUGUCACCACGUCCCCCACCUCUGACCCCGACCUCCACCUGGUGCUCUUUGUUCCCGUGAUGCCCUACCAUGGGCCCCUCCCAAGGCUGCGUGAUGUGUGUUGGCAGGUGGUUGCUUGUGCUGAUCCUUGGAUGGUGAAUGCCUGCCCUUCAGCUGGUCCUGGUUUCUGAAGGUCAAGGCUGCCGCCUGCAUCUUGACCUUCUUCUUCGUGUAGAUUUCCUCAGACUCCAU